This 497-nucleotide ribosomal RNA is filed under the name uncultured bacterium. RNAcentral describes it as "partial 16S ribosomal RNA". It matches the Rfam family "Bacterial small subunit ribosomal RNA", at positions 28 to 507 of the family's 1533-position model. The record is from RNAcentral.
GAUGAACGCUGGCGGCGUGCCUAAUACAUGCAAGUCGAGCGAACAGACGAGGAGCUUGCUCCUCUGAAGUUAGCGGCGGACGGGUGAGUAACACGUGGAUAACCUACCUAUAAGACUGGGAUAACUUCGGGAAACCGGAGCUAAUACCGGAUAAUAUAUUGAACCGCAUGGUUCAAUAGUGAAAGACGGUUUUGCUGUCACUUAUAGAUGGAUCCGCGCCGCAUUAGCUAGUUGGUAAGGUAACGGCUUACCAAGGCAACGAUGCGUAGCCGACCUGAGAGGGUGAUCGGCCACACUGGAACUGAGACACGGUCCAGACUCCUACGGGAGGCAGCAGUAGGGAAUCUUCCGCAAUGGGCGAAAGCUUGACGGAGCAACGCCGCGUGAGUGAUGAAGGUCUUCGGAUCGUAAAACUCUGUUAUUAGGGAAGAACAAAUGUGUAAGUAACUAUGCACGUCUUGACGGUACCUAAUCAGAAAGCCACGGCUAACUACGUG